GUUUAGCACUGACGAGUGCCAAAUAGGACGAAACGAGAGUCCUAGAU
RNAcentral lists this non-coding RNA (47 nucleotides) under Schistosoma mansoni. Lineage: Eukaryota; Metazoa; Platyhelminthes; Trematoda; Strigeidida; Schistosomatidae. The record is from RNAcentral.